This 245-nucleotide ribosomal RNA is filed under the name uncultured bacterium. RNAcentral's name for it is "partial small subunit ribosomal RNA". It matches the Rfam family "Bacterial small subunit ribosomal RNA", at positions 26 to 286 of the family's 1533-position model. The record is from RNAcentral.
AGAAUCAACGCUGGCGGCGUGCCUAACACAUGCAAGUCGAACGAGAAAGUGGAGCAAUCCAUGAGUAAAGUGGCGCACGGGUGAGUAACACGUGACUAACCUACCCUUGAGUGGGGGAUAACCUAGGGAAACCUGGGCUAAUACCGCAUAAUACCUUCGGGUCAAAGGAGCAAUUCGCUUAAGAGGGGGUCGCGGCCGAUUAGUUAGUUGGCGGGGUAAUGGCCCACCAAGACUGUGAUCGGUAU